Long non-coding RNA from Strigops habroptila (Kakapo), 1539 nucleotides. RefSeq lists it as uncharacterized. NCBI's taxonomy places the organism in Eukaryota, Metazoa, Chordata, Aves, Psittaciformes, Psittacidae. The record is from RefSeq and is a predicted model, not a curated record. The transcript is spliced from 2 exons.
GGCCCGGCCAGGGCCUGCUGGCGGGCACGGCCCGGCCCGUGGCGGGGAGCGGCGCCGCCGCGGUUUAUCGGUUUACCGGUUCACCGGUACCCUUCCCUCUUAUCCCCCCCGCCCCAAAAGUAUGUUGGCAGGCAGGGAGGCCGCCGCCCCGCGCAGGAGAGCGGCCCCUCACUCACCCACGGCGGAGGCUGCCCAGCGCCGCGAAGGGCCCGUCCCGCACUGCCGUUGGCCGCUCGCCGGCUCUCGCUCUUCGGCCUGUGCGGCCACAGAGACGUUCCCGCGCUGGCACCCCGCGUCUGCACUCAUCGCCGUAGGCACCAAUAUAUAUAUGUGCGUAUACAGGCGCCCUCUGAGCAGCGAUUGAAAGUGCGAACGGCCCGAGCCGCGGGAGGCUGUGCCCCCGCCCGCUCACACCGCCCGGCCAAAGGAGCUGCGAAGGACGGGAGGAGGCCGCCUUUGUGCCCCUGGCGCCGGGGGAGGCCGCCGCGCCGAUGCCUGCCCCUCACAUGCCCGCUGCCUGCCCUGCCCCGCAGCACUGUGCUCGACGCUCACUUCACACCGAUAAGAGUUUGUGUGCAGAGACAAUGGAGCCAGCAGGGCUGUGGUUACAGCCGCCUCGAUCCAGCAGAAAGGCAAGCGUACCCGAAAGGGACGGCCUGCGCAGCUGUAUGUGAACCUUCCGUGCCCGGAGCCUGCUCUGUUGGGGUGCAGGCACACUGCUAAUGCCUCCACUGAAAAUGGGGAACAAGCCGCGGCGGUGACAGGGCUCCCUCCUUCACCAGGGAUCCAGAUCCAUUCGGGCUGUAGUGGUUGUGGUUUCAUGGCCUCCCAACAGUAGAGACCUCACCAGGAGACUGUAUCAGGGCCAGGGAAAGCCCCACAGACAGCAAUACUGCUCCGUGUUGGACUCAGAAAAGACAGAACUUCAGCCCCUUAGGCUUUUGGCACAGUCCCUGUAACCUGGGACAGAAUGUAUUUUGGUCAUAUCCCCAACUGUCUUUUCAGCUUUAGCUGUCAAAGAAGUAAUGUCUAAUGCAGCAGAUCAGGAUUCCUGUGAUUCCUGGAGACAAUUACCGCCUGUGAAGUGACGUGGCACAACUGCUUUUGACAUGGCUGCCAUCUCUGUGGUAUAAAGCCACCACACUUGGGAGAAAAUUACAGCCAAAGGAUGAGGACAAUGGGAAAUUGACUAAAAAAUACAGUCUGCAAUGAAACAAAUUUGAUAUGUGUUAAAAAAGAAAGUCUGUGAAGAAUCAUCUGUAAUGCAGUUGUCUCCAGUAAUAAUCACUUUGGAAAGAAUGUUAAAAUAGAAACAAAUACCACAAGAACUAAUAAAUUCCUACAAGCUGUCACUGAAACUGAGAGAAUAAACCAAUAUAAUUAAAAUACCAGCAUGUUGUAAAAGUUUAGUUGUAGGGGUUAUAACCAUUUUGAGUUUGGUUUUUAAUAUGUCAGUAUAUGCAGAGAAUUCAUCAUAAUCCUUUCUUAAGAUACCUGUAACCACAACAGCAAGCAUAGCUGAGUAAAGUUUCUUCUGCA